This 644-nucleotide ribosomal RNA is filed under the name Vibrio sp. RNAcentral's name for it is "bacterial SSU rRNA". It matches the Rfam family "Bacterial small subunit ribosomal RNA", at positions 71 to 699 of the family's 1533-position model. The record is from RNAcentral. Lineage: Bacteria; Pseudomonadati; Pseudomonadota; Gammaproteobacteria; Vibrionales; Vibrionaceae.
UUAUCUGAACCUUCGGGGAACGAUAACGGCGUCGAGCGGCGGACGGGUGAGUAAUGCCUAGGAAAUUGCCCUGAUGUGGGGGAUAACCAUUGGAAACGAUGGCUAAUACCGCAUGAUGCCUACGGGCCAAAGAGGGGGACCUUCGGGCCUCUCGCGUCAGGAUAUGCCUAGGUGGGAUUAGCUAGUUGGUGAGGUAAGGGCUCACCAAGGCGACGAUCCCUAGCUGGUCUGAGAGGAUGAUCAGCCACACUGGAACUGAGACACGGUCCAGACUCCUACGGGAGGCAGCAGUGGGGAAUAUUGCACAAUGGGCGCAAGCCUGAUGCAGCCAUGCCGCGUGUAUGAAGAAGGCCUUCGGGUUGUAAAGUACUUUCAGUCGUGAGGAAGGCGGCGUCGUUAAUAGCGGCGUUGUUUGACGUUAGCGACAGAAGAAGCACCGGCUAACUCCGUGCCAGCAGCCGCGGUAAUACGGAGGGUGCGAGCGUUAAUCGGAAUUACUGGGCGUAAAGCGCAUGCAGGUGGUUUGUUAAGUCAGAUGUGAAAGCCCGGGGCUCAACCUCGGAAUAGCAUUUGAAACUGGCAGACUAGAGUACUGUAGAGGGGGGGUAGAAUUUCAUGUGUAGCGGUGAAAUGCGUAGAGAUCU